AGCAGCCGCGGUAAUCCCAGCUCCAAUAGCGUAUAUUAAAGUUGUUGCAGUUAAAAAGCUCGUAGUUGAAUUUCGGAAUCUGUCCGUUGGUCGGGCUUAACUGUCCGUACUGAUGUGAUGGGUUCUUACCUUCUGAAUAACCAGCAUGUCAUUAAUUUGGUGUGUUGGGGAAGCAGGACUAUUACCUUGAAAAAAUUAGAGUGCUCAAAGCAGGCUAGUGCCUGAAUACAUUAGCAUGGAAUAAUAAAAUAGGACGGCAUGGUUCUAUUUUGUUGGUUUCUAGGAUCACCGUAAUGAUUAAUAGGGAUAGUUGGGGGCAUUAGUAUUCAAUUGUCAGAGGUGAAAUUCUUGGAUUUAUUGAAGACUAACUUCUGCGAAAGCAUUUGCCAAGGAUGUUUUCAUUAAUCAAGAACGAAAGUUAGGGGAUCGAAGACGAUCAGAUACCGUCGUAGUCUUAACCAUAAACUAUGCCGACUAGGGAUCGGACGAUGUUAAUUUAUAAUGACUCGUUCGGUCCG
RNAcentral lists this ribosomal RNA (518 nucleotides) under uncultured Glomeromycotina. RNAcentral describes it as "SSU rRNA". It matches the Rfam family "Eukaryotic small subunit ribosomal RNA", at positions 569 to 1087 of the family's 1831-position model. Lineage: Eukaryota; Fungi; Glomeromycota. The record is from RNAcentral.